UACGUAGGGGGCAAGCGUUGUCCGGAUUUAUUGGGCGUAAAGAGCGUGUAGGCGGCCGUACAGGUCAGCUGUGAAAACUCGAGGCUCAACCUCGAGACGUCGGUUGAAACCGUACGGCUAAAGUCCGGAAGAGGAGAGUGGAAUUCCCGGUGUAGCGGUGAAAUGCGCAGAUAUCGGGAAGAACACCCGUGGCGAAGGCGGCUCUCUGGGACGGUACUGACGCUGAGACGCGAAAGCGUGGGGAGCGAACAGG
RNAcentral lists this ribosomal RNA (253 nucleotides) under uncultured bacterium. RNAcentral describes it as "partial 16S ribosomal RNA". It matches the Rfam family "Bacterial small subunit ribosomal RNA", at positions 524 to 776 of the family's 1533-position model. The record is from RNAcentral.